GUGACCCUACGGACGCAGCAGUGGGGGAUAUUGCACAAUGGGGGGAACCCUGAUGCAGCGACGCCGCGUGGGCGAUGGAGUGCUUCGGCAUGUAAAGCCCUAUCAGCAGGGAAGAAAAUGACGGUACCUGACUAAGAAGCCCCGGCUAAAUACGUGCCAGCAGCCGCGGUAAUACGUAUGGGGCAAGCGUUAUCCGGAUUUACUGGGUGUAAAGGGAGCGUAGGCGGCCUGGCAAGCCUGAUGUGAAAUACCGGGGCCCAACCCCGGGGCUGCAUUGGGAACUGCCAGGCUGGAGUGCCGGAGAG
RNAcentral lists this ribosomal RNA (305 nucleotides) under uncultured bacterium. RNAcentral's name for it is "bacterial SSU rRNA". It matches the Rfam family "Bacterial small subunit ribosomal RNA", at positions 334 to 656 of the family's 1533-position model. The record is from RNAcentral.